GAAAUAGUGCUAACAACUGUUCUGCACCCAAAGGUGCUCAGGGAAUGCUGAGAUCUGAACAGAGCCCCUCAAGUUCUGAAUGGGGACAUGAAAUCAGGUUCAGUGAACAGCCACCUGAGGUGGUACAUGGACAUCCACGUGCACCCAGAUGCUAACUCAGCCGUCACCGUCAUCAAAGCAACAGCAAAGCUUAAACACACAUUAGCUGUGUGCGGGCACUGUGCUAGGUACUUCAGAGGCAUGUCUCCAAUUUCUUGGCUAUUUGAUAAUAGUUUGAGAGGUUUCAAAAC
Bubalus bubalis (water buffalo) is the source of this 290-nucleotide long non-coding RNA. RefSeq lists it as uncharacterized. The record is from RefSeq and is a predicted model, not a curated record. NCBI's taxonomy places the organism in Eukaryota, Metazoa, Chordata, Mammalia, Artiodactyla, Bovidae. The transcript is spliced from 2 exons.